This 254-nucleotide ribosomal RNA is filed under the name uncultured bacterium. RNAcentral's name for it is "partial 16S ribosomal RNA". It matches the Rfam family "Bacterial small subunit ribosomal RNA", at positions 524 to 776 of the family's 1533-position model. The record is from RNAcentral.
UACGGAGGGUGCAAGCGUUAUCCGGAAUCACUGGGCUUAAAGGGUGCGUAGGCGGUGAGAUAAGUCAGUCGUGAAAUCUCUUGGCUUAACCAAUGAAAUUGCGAUUGAUACUGUUUUACUUGAAAGAGGUUGAGGUCAGCGGAAUGUGGCAUGUAGCGGUGAAAUGCAUAGAUAUGCCAUAGAACACCGAUUGCGAAGGCAGCUGGCUGGGCCUACUUUGACGCUGAGGCACGAAAGCGUGGGGAGCAAACAGG